Molecule: long non-coding RNA, 1272 nt
Filed under: Oryctolagus cuniculus (rabbit)
Lineage: Eukaryota; Metazoa; Chordata; Mammalia; Lagomorpha; Leporidae
Description: lncRNA (ENSOCUG00000038994.1)
Source: RNAcentral
AGGAAGCAGCCUGCCUCUCAUUCUUCCCAUCUUGAGUUCCUUCUCACCUUCCCCUACUCACCCAGCAGCCUCUGGCAUGUCCAGGAUAGGGAAGAGAAGGCAGAGGAGGCGCAGGCUGCUGUAAUCCGGGCAGGUCGUCCUCUUUGGCUCUUGUCUUGUGGUUCUUCUGUGACGUCCUUCCUGCUGAUACUCUUGUUGCACCCCUUGCAGGGACAUGAACCAGUGAAAGUGGACAUCUUAACCACAAGGCCAAAUGCCAGCCCCAUAAUCUCAUUUUUAAUGCUCACAGUUAGCCGAGGAGUUAGGUAUGUAGUCAGUUUUGCAGAUAAAAAAGCCAGGAUAACAUAGGUAAUAGGGAUUAAAACUCACCUUCAUUCAUGCUAAUGAAUAAGGUAAUUUCAAAAGAAAAAAACUAAAAUGCUAAGGUUAAGGGGGCAAAGAACACAGGAGGCCAUUAAGAAAAUGUCUGUGUACCAAGGAAGCCAGAAAGAUGAGUUUGGGGGAAUUUGUGCCUCUUCAUUUUGACAAGCAGGAGAAAUAUUUGUCUCUGGAGAGUAUGAUCACAGGAGCAGAAAGAAAGUACUAAUUCUAAAGGACUACAUUUAGACAAAAGGGAAAAAUGAUAUGAUGAGCAGAAACUGCACGACGUGUCUUCUGGAACUUUCUGUUCCCACUCACCACUCGUCAAAACUCAGAAAAAAUCUGUAAUCUUUAAAAGUCAGUAGUGGGUUUGAGAUCCCCUGGGAUGAGUUUAGAAGCCUCCAUUGUACUCAGAGAGGGUCUAAAUUUGGAAAUAAACUGAAUCCCACAGAUUCAUUAUACAAUUGGCACGCCAAGGAGAGGAACUGAAAAACUUUCCUUGUCUGAAUUUCUCGCUUCUUUUGAGAAGGAGACUUAACGGGAGAGGCUGACAUUUCAGAGACAUAGCUCAGCUGAGUUUAGAAACUCGGGAGUAGGCGGAUUGGAGAAGCACCUGUAAACACCAUGCAGAUUAGCUGUGGGAAAUGCGUGAGAGUCCCAAGAUGGCAUGAGGAGAAACAAAGAAGAAUGUUCUCCUCCCACCAAGACAAGAAAAAAUGCAGAGCUCCAGGGCGGCAAGGAAUGCUUCAUUCACUCAUCCAUUCAUUCAAGAAAGACUUAUUGAGUUGGGGUGUGUGUUUGAUUUUUGAUUUAUUUCUGUUUGUUUUGCAUCAUGUUUCCUGGUCAGCUUUUUGGAGAGACAGCACGGAGAAGCCUCCAGGAUGGACAGCCUGUAGAUUAUGUUUCCAUUGA